UCAAAGGUCCUUUUCAGGGCCACCACAUAAUUAUAAGAGGCUGAUG
Molecule: non-coding RNA, 46 nt
Organism: Heterocephalus glaber (naked mole-rat)
Lineage: Eukaryota; Metazoa; Chordata; Mammalia; Rodentia; Bathyergidae
Source: Rfam